RNAcentral lists this ribosomal RNA (253 nucleotides) under uncultured bacterium. RNAcentral describes it as "partial 16S ribosomal RNA". It matches the Rfam family "Bacterial small subunit ribosomal RNA", at positions 524 to 776 of the family's 1533-position model. The record is from RNAcentral.
UACGAGGGGUGCUAGCGUUGCUCGGAAUUAUUGGGCGUAAAGGGUAGGUAGGUGGUCUCAUUUGUCUCAUGUGAAAGCCUUGAGCUUAACUCAGGAAGUGCGUGAGAAACGGUGAGACUAGAGUACUGGAGAGGCUAGUGGAAUUCCCGGUGUAGCGGUGAAAUGCGUAGAGAUCGGGAGGAACACCAGAGGCGAAGGCGGCUAGCUGGACAGUAACUGACACUCAACUACGAAAGCGUGGGGAGCAAACAGG